RNAcentral lists this ribosomal RNA (253 nucleotides) under uncultured bacterium. Its description in RNAcentral is "partial 16S ribosomal RNA". It matches the Rfam family "Bacterial small subunit ribosomal RNA", at positions 524 to 776 of the family's 1533-position model. The record is from RNAcentral.
UACAGAGGGGGCAAGCGUUGUCCGGAAUUACUGGGCGUAAAGGGCGCGUAGGUGGCCUUCUAAGUUGAACGUGAAAUCCCUGGGCUCAACCCAGGAACUGCGUCCAAGACUGGGAGGCUUGAAUCCGGGAGAGGGAUGCGGAAUUCCAGGUGUAGCGGUGAAAUGCGUAGAUAUCUGGAGGAACACCGGUGGCGAAGGCGGCAUCCUGGACCGGUAUUGACACUGAGGCGCGAAAGCCAGGGGAGCAAACGGG